UCUCCGUUGGUGAACCAGCGGAGGGAUCAUUACCGAGUUUACAACUCCCAAACCCCUGUGAACAUACCUGUUUUGUUGCUUCGGCGGUGCCCUCGCUCUCGCGGCGAGGCCCGCCAGAGGACCUAAACAAACUCUUUGACUUUGAUCUAGGAUUAUACUUCUGAGUGAUACAAAAAAUAAAAUCAAAACUUUCAACAACGGAUCUCUUGGUUCUG
This 215-nucleotide unclassified non-coding RNA is filed under the name plant metagenome. Its description in RNAcentral is "partial contains small subunit ribosomal RNA, internal transcribed spacer 1, and 5.8S ribosomal RNA". The record is from RNAcentral.